Molossus molossus (Pallas's mastiff bat) is the source of this 268-nucleotide long non-coding RNA. RefSeq lists it as uncharacterized. The transcript is spliced from 3 exons. Lineage: Eukaryota; Metazoa; Chordata; Mammalia; Chiroptera; Molossidae. The record is from RefSeq and is a predicted model, not a curated record.
CACCUGCAUGACCAACCAGGGCCGGGGACAAACUGCAACUGAGGGGAAGAAAAUAUGACCAUACUUAAACCUGCUGAGAGCUGACUUUUGAUGAGGCCACGACGCUCACCGGUUCAAUCAUCACACACUCAAGAAUAACAGGUCAUUUCACUGAGAAAAGAGCUGGGUUUUCUCCAGCACUUGCAACUUACAGCUUCAAAUACGUACCACAUGGAGAGGAUUUCCAGAAAACUACAGAGUGGCUGCUAUAAACACCUAGUGCCUGGGA